AUUGAACGCUGGCGGCAUGCCUUACACAUGCAAGUCGAACGGCAGCACGGGUGCUUGCACCUGGUGGCGAGUGGCGAACGGGUGAGUAAUAUAUCGGAACGUACCUUAUUGUGGGGGAUACCGCAGCGAAAGCUGUGCUAAUACCGCAUAAUCCCUAAGAGCGAAAGCGGGGGACCGUAAGGCCCCGCGCAAUUAGGGCGGCCGAUACCUGAUUAGCUAGUUGGUGAGGUAAAGGCUCACCAAGGCAACGAUCAGUAGCUGGUCUGAGAGGACGAUCAGCCACACUGGGACUGAGACACGGCCCAGACUCCUACGGGAGGCAGCAGUGGGGAAUUUUGGACAAUGGGGGCAACCCUGAUCCAGCAAUGCCGCGUGAGUGAAGAAGGCCUUCGGGUUGUAAAGCUCUUUUGUCAGGGAAGAAACAGCAGCUCUAACACUGUAUGCGAAUGACGGUACCUGAAGAAUAAGCACCGGCUAACUACGUGCCAGCCGCCGCUGUAA
This 501-nucleotide ribosomal RNA is filed under the name uncultured bacterium. RNAcentral's name for it is "partial 16S ribosomal RNA". It matches the Rfam family "Bacterial small subunit ribosomal RNA", at positions 30 to 523 of the family's 1533-position model. The record is from RNAcentral.